RNAcentral lists this ribosomal RNA (253 nucleotides) under uncultured bacterium. Its description in RNAcentral is "partial 16S ribosomal RNA". It matches the Rfam family "Bacterial small subunit ribosomal RNA", at positions 524 to 776 of the family's 1533-position model. The record is from RNAcentral.
UACAGAGGGGGCUAGCGUUGUUCGGAAUUACUGGGCGUAAAGGGCGCGUAGGUGGCCUGUUAAGUCGGACGUGAAAUCCCCGGGCUCAACCCGGGAACUGCGUCCGAGACUGGCAGGCUCGAAUCCGGGAGAGGGAUGUGGAAUUCCAGGUGUAGCGGUGAAAUGCGUAGAGAUGUGGAGGAACACCGAUGGCGAAGGCAGCCUCCUGGGCUAGUACUGACGCUCAUGCACGAAAGCGUGGGGAGCAAACAGG